Molecule: long non-coding RNA, 540 nt
Filed under: Vigna radiata
Lineage: Eukaryota; Viridiplantae; Streptophyta; Magnoliopsida; Fabales; Fabaceae
Description: long non-coding RNA (VRAD_LNC008761)
Source: RNAcentral
UUUAACGUCAUUAGCUUGACCCAAUAAAGCUCAAGUUCCAUCUUCAACAUUGGUAUUCUCCUUUAUAGAUAUUCUUUUUUUCUUCCUUUUGGUGAAUUUCUUCAAAAAUUUGAUAAAACCAGGAACUCGUUUGAAUGUCUCAAUCAUAGGAACUUUAAUCUCCAAUUUCAUGAAUAUUCCCAUAAAGCGCUCAAACUCCUUCUCCUUCAUAUGAUACUUCUUUGGAUGAGGAAGGGGUUUUUCAUAUGAUUCGUUCUUUUUCCUCUCAUCCUCUUUUUCUUACUUUUCUUCUCCCUCAAUUUUCUCUUUUUCUUUUCUCUUACUUUGUUCUUCCCUUCUCUUUUUCCAUUCAACUUCUUUAUUUUCAAACACAGUCUCUUUUUCUCUUUUCUCUCAACCACUUCUUUUUCCUUCUUUUCAUCUUUAUCUUUCUCACUCAAAGUUUCUGUUUCUUUUUCCUCCAUCUUUUCGUCAUCUGUCUCUAUCUUUUCCUCAUAAAAAAUCUUGUCAUUUCCAGUGAUAGUGGCUUGACAUUCCUCC